AGCGAACGCUGGCGGCGUGCCUAACACAUGCAAGUCGAGCGAGAAAGGGUGGCAACACCCUGAGUAAAGCGGCGAACGGGUGAGUAACGCGUGGGCAAUCUACCUUCCAGUCUGGGAUAACCUUCCGAAAGGAGGGCUAAUACCGGAUGAUGUCCUGUUGGGGCAUCCUGAGGGGAGCAAAGGGGGCGACCCGCAAGGGGCUCUCGCUGGAGGAGGAGCCUGCGUCCGAUUAGCAGUUGGUGGGGUAACGGCUCACCAAGGCGACGAUCGGUAGCCGGCCUGAGAGGGUGACCGGCCACACUGGGACUGAGACACGGCCCAGACUCCUAUGGGAGGCAGCAGUGGGGAAUCUUGCGCAAUGGGCGAAAGCCUGACGCAGCGACGCCGCGUGGGGGACGAA
This 400-nucleotide ribosomal RNA is filed under the name uncultured bacterium. Its description in RNAcentral is "bacterial SSU rRNA". It matches the Rfam family "Bacterial small subunit ribosomal RNA", at positions 30 to 412 of the family's 1533-position model. The record is from RNAcentral.